Molecule: ribosomal RNA, 120 nt
Filed under: Scophthalmus maximus (turbot)
Lineage: Eukaryota; Metazoa; Chordata; Actinopteri; Pleuronectiformes; Scophthalmidae
Source: RNAcentral
GCUUAUGGCCACACCGCCUGGUUCACGCCUGAUCUCGUUUGAUCUCGGAAGAUAAGAUAGGGUGGGCCUGGUUAGGUACUUGGAUGGGAGACCGCCUGGGAAUACCAGGUGCUUUAAGCU